GAUGAACGCUGGCGGCGUGCCUAAUACAUGCAAGUCGAGCGAACAGACGAGGAGCUUGCUCCUCUGACGUUAGCGGCGGACGGGUGAGUAACACGUGGAUAACCUACCUAUAAGACUGGGAUAACUUCGGGAAACCGGAGCUAAUACCGGAUAAUAUAUUGAACCGCAUGGUUCAAUAGUGAAAGACGGUUUUGCUGUCACUUAUAGAUGGAUCCGCGCCGCAUUAGCUAGUUGGUAAGGUAACGGCUUACCAAGGCGACGAUGCGUAGCCGACCUGAGAGGGUGAUCGGCCACACUGGAACUGAGACACGGUCCAGACUCCUACGGGAGGCAGCAGUAGGGAAUCUUCCGCAAUGGGCGAAAGCCUGACGCAGCAACGCCGCGUGAGUGAUGAAGGUCUUCGGAUCGUAAAGCUCUGUUAUUAGGGAAGAACAAAUGUGUAAGUAACUAUGCACGUCUUGACGGUACCUAAUCAGAAAGCCACGGCUAACUACGUG
RNAcentral lists this ribosomal RNA (497 nucleotides) under uncultured bacterium. Its description in RNAcentral is "partial 16S ribosomal RNA". It matches the Rfam family "Bacterial small subunit ribosomal RNA", at positions 28 to 507 of the family's 1533-position model. The record is from RNAcentral.